Molecule: transfer RNA, 75 nt
Filed under: Trichonephila inaurata madagascariensis
Lineage: Eukaryota; Metazoa; Arthropoda; Arachnida; Araneae; Nephilidae
Description: tRNA-Arg
Rfam family: tRNA
About the family: Transfer RNA (tRNA) molecules are approximately 80 nucleotides in length. Their secondary structure includes four short double-helical elements and three loops (D, anti-codon, and T loops).
Source: RNAcentral
GUUCCUGUAGCGCAAUGGAUAGCGCGUUGGGCUUCUACUCGAAAGGUCAUGGGUUCGAAUCCCAUCUGGAUGGCU